RNAcentral lists this long non-coding RNA (1382 nucleotides) under Durio zibethinus. RNAcentral describes it as "long non-coding RNA (DZIB_LNC002455)". Lineage: Eukaryota; Viridiplantae; Streptophyta; Magnoliopsida; Malvales; Malvaceae. The record is from RNAcentral.
UCUGUUAGUAAAAGCCCAAAACCCAUUAUGAGCCCAGAUUUAAUUUUUAGGCCCAAUUUCAUUUUAUUAUGAUUUAUUAAAAAAAAAAGAAAGGAAAAAGCCUGAAGUUGCGACUGCCAUGGCAACCAGCUUUCCAUACUUCCCAAAAGCCCUUCCUUUUAGAUUGAUCCUUAUCUCCAAUUUUUUCCCUCUAUAUUUACCCACUGAUCUUUUACAUGAAUUGGUAAAAAGUGACCCAAUAUCCUAGAAAAAGCAUGCUCCAUAUCCGAAAGUGCAGCAAUAACUGCUGCAACAACAUUCCAAAGACAACAGUCCUUAGAAAUCUCAGAGGAUCUUCUAUUUGCAGGUAGUCUUAUCAGGGGAGACUUGGACAAAAAAGAAAAUUUUCAGGGGGAGCCUCAGGAACCAAAAAUCCUACCCUCCAUUGCAACCAGCACUUAAACUUCAACCACAGACACCACCAACAUCACCAUAAUCGGCUUUGCUGAAACCCAAAAAGAAAACCAGUUUUUCCUUAUUACCAAAGAACACUCGCUCCUGCACUUACCCGGCACCAUCACCAAUUCCAACCACCUACCAUUCGGCCGGCUCACAGACUACGGCCAAUUUCCAUUUGAAUAGAGCAAAAUUGCCAUCAACAGCUUACCAGUAAUAGACCUUCACCCAGAAAUCACAUAUAGCCCACACCCCAACCGAACACCCGAACCACAGACCAUUAAGCACUCUUCAACACCAUUCGGCCACCCCCUACAUUAAAAAAACACGCCCACAACAGAACAAGUCUCCACUGAGACAAAAAAACAAAAACAACAACAGUUCUCAUUAAGGAACCUCAAAAGUGAAGCACAAAACACAAAAAGAAACUACCAUAAUGAAAUUAUUCAAAAGGCCAAAAAAAUUAAAGAGAGAAGAAACAAGAAAAAGGAGCUGUUUGCGGCGCAUGGUUUAUGGCAGCACAGUGAAUAGCUGUAAAAGGUGUGGCAAGGUGGUAAAUGGCAGCAAGAACUGCGAUGACGCAAGGAGGUCAGUGAGGACGGCUAUAUUUUGGGCGAUCCAAAAUGGUAGCAAGGUAGAGGAGAACAAGGGGAACAACAUAGUAAAAGCCUAGCCAAAUAGGAUAGUAAGAUACGGUGAAAAAGGGUUUAGAUGCCGCGAACUUUGGUUUCAAGUCUAGGAGAACCCAUUUAGAUUUACGCAAAACGGAGCCGGAAUUCGUGAAGAGGAAAUUGAGGAGAAGCUUGGGUGAAAUUUUGGUGUUGAAAAGGGGCUUGCCGCCGAUGACGAAGCUGCAAUGAUGGGGCUUCAUCGAAAAUUAGGUUUGAAGGGGGGCUGGCUUUGUUUUUGAAAGAGUUAGAAAGUUUUUCUUUUUUUUUUUGUUUUGU